RNAcentral lists this ribosomal RNA (253 nucleotides) under uncultured bacterium. RNAcentral's name for it is "partial 16S ribosomal RNA". It matches the Rfam family "Bacterial small subunit ribosomal RNA", at positions 524 to 776 of the family's 1533-position model. The record is from RNAcentral.
UACGAAGGGGGCUAGCGUUGCUCGGAAUUAUUGGGCGUAAAGCGCGCGUAGGCGGCUACUUAAGUCGGAUGUGAAAGCCCUUGGCUCAACUGAGGAAGUGCACCCGAAACUGAGUGGCUUAAGUACUAAAGAGGGUCGCGGAAUUCCCGGUGUAGAGGUGAAAUUCGUAGAUAUCGGGAGGAACACCGGUGGCGAAGGCGGCGACCUGGGUAGAUACUGACGCUGAGGCGCGAAAGCGUGGGGAGCAAACAGG